RNAcentral lists this ribosomal RNA (497 nucleotides) under uncultured bacterium. RNAcentral describes it as "partial 16S ribosomal RNA". It matches the Rfam family "Bacterial small subunit ribosomal RNA", at positions 28 to 507 of the family's 1533-position model. The record is from RNAcentral.
GAUGAACGCUGGCGGCGUGCCUAAUACAUGCAAGUCGAGCGAACAGACGAGGAGCUUGCUCCUCUGACGUUAGCGGCGGACGGGUGAGUAACACGUGGAUAACCUACCUAUAAGACUGGGAUAACUUCGGGAAACCGGAGCUAAUACCGGAUAAUAUAUUGCACCGCAUGGUUCAAUAGUGAAAGACGGUUUUGCUGUCACUUAUAGAUGGAUCCGCGCCGCAUUAGCUAGUUGGUAAGGUAACGGCUUACCAAGGCAACGAUGCGUAGCCGACCUGAGAGGGUGAUCGGCCACACUGGAACUGAGACACGGCCCAGACUCCUACGGGAGGCAGCAGUAGGGAAUCUUCCGCAAUGGGCGAAAGCCUGACGGAGCAACGCCGCGUGAGUGAUGAAGGUCUUCGGAUCGUAAAACUCUGUUAUUAGGGAAGAACAAAUGUGUAAGUAACUAUGCACGUCUUGACGGUACCUAAUCAGAAAGCCACGGCUAACUACGUG